Molecule: ribosomal RNA, 447 nt
Filed under: uncultured Fibrobacter sp.
Lineage: Bacteria; Pseudomonadati; Fibrobacterota; Fibrobacteria; Fibrobacterales; Fibrobacteraceae
Description: partial 16S ribosomal RNA
Rfam family: Bacterial small subunit ribosomal RNA
Source: RNAcentral
ACGGGAGGCAGCAGUAGGGAAUAUUGCACAAUGGGGGAAACCCUGAUGCAGCAACGCCACGUGUGGGAAGAAGCAUUUCGGUGUGUAAACCACUGUCGUGAGGGAUAAAGCUGGAGUUGUCCAGUUGAAUGUACCUCGAAAGGAAGCACCGGCAAACUUCGUGCCAGCAGCCGCGGUAAUUCGAGGGGUGCAAGCGUUGUUCGGAAUCACUGGGCGUAAAGGGAGCGCAGGCGGAGAAGCAAGCGGUCUGUACAAUACCGGGGCCCAACCCCGGACCUGCAGACCGGACUGCUCCUCUUGGAUAGCUCAGGGGCUGGCGGAAUUCCUGGUGUAGCGGUGGAAUGCGUAGAGAUCAGGAAGAGCACCGAUGGCGAAGGCAGCCAACUGGGGGCUUAUCGACGCUCAUGCUCGAAAGUGCGGGUAGCAAACAGGAUUAGGUCCCUGGUA